GGGUGCAUAGCUCAGUUGGUAGAGCAACGGCCUUUUAAGCCGUGGGUCGCAGGUUCGAUCCCUGCUGCACUCA
This 73-nucleotide transfer RNA is filed under the name bacterium. RNAcentral describes it as "tRNA-Lys". It matches the Rfam family "tRNA". From Rfam's summary of the family: Transfer RNA (tRNA) molecules are approximately 80 nucleotides in length. Their secondary structure includes four short double-helical elements and three loops (D, anti-codon, and T loops). RNAcentral also lists the same sequence under 2 other names. The record is from RNAcentral.